Molecule: ribosomal RNA, 491 nt
Filed under: uncultured bacterium
Lineage: Bacteria
Description: partial 16S ribosomal RNA
Rfam family: Bacterial small subunit ribosomal RNA
Source: RNAcentral
GAUGAACGCUGGCUACAGGCUUAACACAUGCAAGUCGAGGGGAAACGACGGGGAAGCUUGCUUCCCCGGGCGUCGACCGGCGCACGGGUGAGUAACGCGUAUCCAACCUGCCUCUGACUGAGGGAUAACCCGUCGAAAGUCGGCCUAAUACCUCAUGGCAUCGUCUGCGGGCAUCCAACGACGAUUAAAGAUUUCAUCGGUCAGGGAUGGGGAUGCGUCUGAUUAGCUUGUUGGCGGGGUAACGGCCCACCAAGGCUACGAUCAGUAGGGGUUCUGAGAGGAAGGUCCCCCACAUUGGAACUGAGACACGGUCCAAACUCCUACGGGAGGCAGCAGUGAGGAAUAUUGGUCAAUGGGCGGGGGCCUGAACCAGCCAAGUAGCGUGCAGGAUGACGGCCCUAUGGGUUGUAAACUGCUUUUAUGCGGGGAUAAAGUGAGGGACGUGUCCUUCAUUGCAGGUACCGCAUGAAUAAGGACCGGCUAAUUCCGUG